RNAcentral lists this ribosomal RNA (253 nucleotides) under uncultured bacterium. RNAcentral describes it as "partial 16S ribosomal RNA". It matches the Rfam family "Bacterial small subunit ribosomal RNA", at positions 524 to 776 of the family's 1533-position model. The record is from RNAcentral.
GACGUAGGGGGCGAGCGUUGUCCGGAAUUAUUGGGCGUAAAGCGCGCGUAGGCGGCCCGGUAAGUCCGCUGUGAAAGUCAAAGGCUCAACCUUUGAAUGCCGGUGGAUACUGUCGGGCUAGAGUCCGGAAGAGGCGAGUGGAAUUCCUGGUGUAGCGGUGAAAUGCGCAGAUAUCAGGAGGAACACCCGUGGCGAAAGCGGCUCUCUGGGACGGUACUGACGCUGAGACGCGAAAGCGUGGGGAGCAAACAGG